This is a long non-coding RNA of Limulus polyphemus (Atlantic horseshoe crab), 115 nucleotides long. RefSeq lists it as uncharacterized. The transcript has 3 exons. Lineage: Eukaryota; Metazoa; Arthropoda; Merostomata; Xiphosura; Limulidae. The record is from RefSeq and is a predicted model, not a curated record.
UGCGGUCAGACUAGAGUAAAACUCAACAGGGUCUUCUUUCCCCGCUGAUUUUUCCAAGCCCGUUCCCUUGGCUGUGGUUUCGCUAGAUAGUAGAUAGGGACAGUGGGAAUCUCGU